Halichondria panicea is the source of this 945-nucleotide long non-coding RNA. RefSeq lists it as uncharacterized. The transcript has 2 exons. The record is from RefSeq and is a predicted model, not a curated record. NCBI's taxonomy places the organism in Eukaryota, Metazoa, Porifera, Demospongiae, Suberitida, Halichondriidae.
UCGAUCCCAGGCCGAGUUUUCGCUUUUAUAACGGUUAGGCGAACAACUGGGCCUGGUACUAGUUGUCUGCGCAUGCGUCAAUCGUUCGUCAGAUUCUGACGAAUGGAUAUUCUCGUUCACUUUCGUGACAUUUAUAUUCGUGUACUAUCGUGUACUAGAAGUCAGUUCCCGUUUUAUCAUUAUUGGAAUCGAUUGGAAUGGCUCUUAGCUGAAGCUUCUCUCUUCUCUGAAGCUUAUUCUGAAGACUGAACAACAAGGGAAGAGGUAUAAAGCUUUGUCAAGCUUGUUAAGGUCAGAUAUUUUUGUGUGGGCCCUAUGGCCGGCUAUGCUAUCAAGUCUUGUUCAUGUUUGGCAAGAAUGUAGGUAGACUAUAGUUUCAUCAUUAAUAUAGUAGAUCAAGUGAAGAGUGUGAGCUAGAGAACUUGGUGCUGCCAUCAUCAGCUCGUCGACAAUGACACUAUAACCGAGAAAUUUAAUAUGUAUAGAUCUACACGUAUUUAAAAUGUCUACUUCUCUGUACAGGAGCAAUGGCUAAUAUCCAGCUAUCCCAACAGUGCUCCUCUUGGCUAUACUAACGGACGAGACUGGACAGUUUGAGACACAGGACUGGAGUAUGACCUGCUCAUUCGAGCGUUGCUGGGUAGCUCAGAGACAUCAAGAGAAUCUACGUUUUCUCAAGCAAUGAGUUACGAGUUGGGGCCUAGAAUCAGAGAAGUCCAGCAGCCUGCUAAAUCUUUUUGAAACGUAAUUUGAAGGCAUUCAAUCAUCCUGAAGUUGCCCUGGGUCACUGUAAUUGUGCUGCAGCACAACUGGCAACUCCCCAGGCCUUUGUGAAGCAGCUCCCUAUGUGCAUCUUUUGUGUACUCACUCUGUGCAUUUUCUGUGUACAAAUUUUGAUUAUUGAUUUAUUAAAUAUUUUUGCCGACCACAAAUAUACAAUGAAAA